UCAUAGGAUAUUGGAGUCUU
This 20-nucleotide microRNA is filed under the name Monodelphis domestica (gray short-tailed opossum). RNAcentral describes it as "mdo-miR-7300-3p". Lineage: Eukaryota; Metazoa; Chordata; Mammalia; Didelphimorphia; Didelphidae. The record is from miRBase by way of RNAcentral.